CCAAUAGCGUAUAUUAAAGUUGUUGCAGUUAAAAAGCUCGUAGUUGAAUUUCGGAAUCAGUACGCUGGUCGUGCCUUUGGUAUGUACUGGUGUCACUGAUUUCUCCCUUCUGAAGAACCGUUAUGCCAUUUAUUUGGUGUGGCGGGGAAUCAGGACUGUUACUUUGAAAAAAUUAGAGGGUUUAAAGCAGGCUCGCGCUUGAAUACAUUAGCAUGGAAUAAUGAAAUAGGACGUUUGAUCUUAUUUUGUUGGUUUCUAGGAUCGACGUAAUGAUUAAUAGGGAUAGUUGGGGGCAUUAGUAUUCAAUUGUCAGAGGUGAAAUUCUUGGAUUUAUUGAAGACUAACUACUGCGAAAGCAUUUGCCAAGGAUGUUUUCAUUAAUCAAGAACGAAAGUUAGGGGAUCGAAGACGAUCAGAUACCGUCGUAGUCUUAACCAUAAACUAUGCCGACUAGGGAUCGGAUGAUGUUAAUUUUUUAAUGACUCAUUCGGCGCCUUACG
This 500-nucleotide ribosomal RNA is filed under the name uncultured Glomeromycotina. RNAcentral describes it as "partial small subunit ribosomal RNA". It matches the Rfam family "Eukaryotic small subunit ribosomal RNA", at positions 591 to 1092 of the family's 1831-position model. The record is from RNAcentral. Lineage: Eukaryota; Fungi; Glomeromycota.